AAAAAAUGUAAUUUGGAUUACAUGCCUAUACUUGAACAAGCAAGACCCAGCUAAAUAGUUUUGGCUAAUGUGAAUUAGGGUUAAUGCUUAUAAUUUUAUGGGACAUUUACCUGUAACUGUUUGCUUAAUGUUUGAACCAUUGAAUCCUUUUUGUCCAUAGUGUAUGAAAUAUGAAUAUUAUCUCUAUUAGGGUUGCAAUCUGUCCAAUGAAUUUAUUUCUUCCAAAUCAAAGGAACAAUAAAUCCUGUCCGUUCAUAUUCAUGUUCUUUUCCUGUUUUGUGUUGUAACUAGGUUGAAGUUGGAG
RNAcentral lists this unclassified non-coding RNA (304 nucleotides) under Hevea brasiliensis (rubber tree). Lineage: Eukaryota; Viridiplantae; Streptophyta; Magnoliopsida; Malpighiales; Euphorbiaceae. The record is from RNAcentral.